AGUGAACGCUGGCGGUAGGCCUAACACAUGCAAGUCGAACGGCAGCACAGUAAGAGCUUGCUCUUACGGGUGGCGAGUGGCGGACGGGUGAGGAAUACAUCGGAAUCUACUUUUUCGUGGGGGAUAACGUAGGGAAACUUACGCUAAUACCGCAUACGACCUACGGGUGAAAGCAGGGGAUCUUCGGACCUUGCGCGAUUGAAUGAGCCGAUGUCGGAUUAGCUAGUUGGCGGGGUAAAGGCCCACCAAGGCGACGAUCCGUAGCUGGUCUGAGAGGAUGGUCAGGCACAAUGGAACUGGGACACGGUCCAGACUCCUACGGGAGGCAGCAGUGGGGAAUAUUGGACAAUGGGCGCAAGCCUGAUCCAGCCAUACCGCGUGGGUGAAGAAGGCCUUCGGGUUGUAAAGCCCUUUUGUUGGGAAAGAAAAGCAGCAGGUUAAUACCCCGCUGUUCUGACGGUACCCAAAGAAUAAGCACCGGCUAACUUCGUG
RNAcentral lists this ribosomal RNA (492 nucleotides) under uncultured bacterium. RNAcentral describes it as "partial 16S ribosomal RNA". It matches the Rfam family "Bacterial small subunit ribosomal RNA", at positions 29 to 507 of the family's 1533-position model. The record is from RNAcentral.